This 382-nucleotide ribosomal RNA is filed under the name uncultured bacterium. RNAcentral describes it as "bacterial SSU rRNA". It matches the Rfam family "Bacterial small subunit ribosomal RNA", at positions 198 to 561 of the family's 1533-position model. The record is from RNAcentral.
GGAGGAAAGCAGGGGAUCGAAAGACCUUAUGCUUUUGGAGCGGCCGAUGUCUGAUUAGCUAGUUGGUAAGGUAAUGGCUUACCAAGGCAACGAUCAGUAGUUGGUCUGAGAGGACGACCAGCCACACUGGGACUGAGACACGGCCCAGACUCCUACGGGAGGCAGCAGUGGGGAAUUUUGGACAAUGGGCGCAAGCCUGAUCCAGCAAUGCCGCGUGAGUGAAGAAGGCCUUCGGGUUGUAAAGCUCUUUCAGUUGAGAAGAAAAGAUUGUGACUAAUAAUUGCAAUUCAUGACGGUAUCAACAGAAGAAGCACCGGCUAACUACGUGCCAGCAGCCGCGGUAAUACGUAGGGUGCGAGCGUUAAUCGGAAUUACUGGGCGU